GAUGAACGCUAGCGGCACGCUUCAUACAUGCAAGUCGAGGGGCAGCAUAAAGUACUUGUACUUUGAUGGCGACCGGCGAACGGGUGCGUAACGCGUAUGCAACUUACCUUUUACUAGAGAAUAGCCAAGAGAAAUUUUGAUUAAUGCUCCAUACUCUUUUUAACUCACAUGAGUUUUUAAGAAAAGCUCCGGCGGUAAAAGAUGGGCAUGCGUCCUAUUAGCUUGUAGGUGAGGUAACGGCUCACCUAAGCUCCGAUAGGUAGGGGUCCUGAGAGGGAGAUCCCCCACACUGGUACUGAGACACGGACCAG
This 311-nucleotide ribosomal RNA is filed under the name uncultured bacterium. RNAcentral describes it as "bacterial SSU rRNA". It matches the Rfam family "Bacterial small subunit ribosomal RNA", at positions 28 to 334 of the family's 1533-position model. The record is from RNAcentral.